Molecule: ribosomal RNA, 231 nt
Filed under: Ruegeria haliotis
Lineage: Bacteria; Pseudomonadati; Pseudomonadota; Alphaproteobacteria; Rhodobacterales; Roseobacteraceae
Description: Rhodobacteraceae bacterium B1Z28 partial 23S ribosomal RNA
Rfam family: Bacterial large subunit ribosomal RNA
Source: RNAcentral
GAGAGGACCGAGUUGGACAAACCUCUGGUGUAUCAGUUGUCGCGCCAGCGGCAUUGCUGAGUAGCUACGUUUGGAAGGGAUAAGCGCUGAAAGCAUAUAAGCGCGAAACCCACCACAAGAUGAGAUUUCUUUAAAGGGUCGUGGGAGAUUACCACGUUGAUAGGCUAUAGGUGUAAAGGCAGUAAUGUCAUAGCCGAGUAGUACUAAUAACCCAUAGGCUUAUUGUACGCC